UUGCCCUACGGGACGCAGCAGUAGGGAAUUUUCGUCAAUGGGCGCAAGCCUGAACGAGCAAUGCCGCGUGAACGAGGAAGGUCUUCGGAUCGUAAAGUUCUGUUGAAGGGGAAAAAGAGCGGAGAGAGGAAAUGAACUCCGAUUGAUAUUACCCUUCGAGGAAGUCACGGCUAACUACGUGCCAGCAGCCGCGGUAAUACGUAGGUGGCGAGCGUUAUCCGGAAUGAUUGGGCGUAAAGGGUGCGUAGGCGGCCUGCUAAGUCUGGGGCGAAAGGUACCGGCUCAACCGGUAUAGGCUCUGGAAA
This 305-nucleotide ribosomal RNA is filed under the name uncultured bacterium. RNAcentral describes it as "bacterial SSU rRNA". It matches the Rfam family "Bacterial small subunit ribosomal RNA", at positions 334 to 632 of the family's 1533-position model. The record is from RNAcentral.